Molecule: non-coding RNA, 87 nt
Filed under: uncultured Anaerobutyricum sp.
Lineage: Bacteria; Bacillati; Bacillota; Clostridia; Lachnospirales; Lachnospiraceae
Source: RNAcentral
AAAAAGGGGAGCUCGAAGCCGGGCUGAGAAAGGAUAAUGCAUCCUGACCCAUAACCUGAUUUGGAUAAUGCCAACGUAGGGAUCAUA